CCUACGGGUGGCUGCAGUGGGGAAUAUUGGGCAAUGGGCGCAAGCCUGACCCAGCAACGCCGCGUGAAGGAAGAAGGCUCUCGGGUUGUUAACUUCUUUUCUCAGGGACGAAGCAAGUGACGGUACCUGAGGAAUAAGCCACGGCUAACUACGUGCCAGCAGCCGCGGUAAUACGGAGGUGGCAAGCGUUAUCCGGAUUUACUGGGUGUAAAGGGGGUGUAGGCGGGAAAGCAAGUCAGAUGUGAAAACCAUGGGCUCAACCUGUGGCCUGCAUUUGAAACUGUUUUUCUUGAGUACUGGAGAGGCAGACGGAAUGCGUAGUGUAGCGGUGAAAUGCGUAGAUAUUAGGAGGAACACCGGUGGCGAAGGCGGCUUACUGGACCGAAACUGACGCUGAGGCACGAAAGCGUGGGGAGCAAACAGGAUUAGAUACCCCUGUAGUC
RNAcentral lists this ribosomal RNA (443 nucleotides) under uncultured bacterium. Its description in RNAcentral is "partial 16S ribosomal RNA". It matches the Rfam family "Bacterial small subunit ribosomal RNA", at positions 338 to 795 of the family's 1533-position model. The record is from RNAcentral.